CACUCCUACGGGAGGCAGCAGUGGGGAAUUUUGGACAAUGGGCGAAAGCCUGAUCCAGCAAUGCCGCGUGUGUGAAGAAGGCCUUCGGGUUGUAAAGCACUUUUGUCCGGAAAGAAAUCCUUGGCUCUAAUACAGUCGAGGGAUGACGGUACCGGAAGAAUAAGCACCGGCUAACUACGUGCCAGCAGCCGCGGUAAUACGUAGGGUGCGAGCGUUAAUCGGAAUUACUGGGCGUAAAGCGUGCGCAGGCGGUUUGCUAAGACCGAUGUGAAAUCCCCGGGCUCAACCUGGGAACUGCAUUGGUGACUGGCAGGCUAGAGUAUGGCAGAGGGGGGUAGAAUUCCACGUGUAGCAGUGAAAUGCGUAGAGAUGUGGAGGAAUACCGAUGGCGAAGGCAGCCCCCUGGGCCAAUACUGACGCUCAUGCACGAAAGCGUGGGGAGCAAACAGGAUUAGAAACCCUAGUAGUCCCA
This 472-nucleotide ribosomal RNA is filed under the name uncultured organism. RNAcentral's name for it is "partial 16S ribosomal RNA". It matches the Rfam family "Bacterial small subunit ribosomal RNA", at positions 334 to 797 of the family's 1533-position model. The record is from RNAcentral.